Sapajus apella (tufted capuchin) is the source of this 101-nucleotide long non-coding RNA. RefSeq lists it as uncharacterized. Lineage: Eukaryota; Metazoa; Chordata; Mammalia; Primates; Cebidae. The record is from RefSeq and is a predicted model, not a curated record. The transcript has 3 exons.
CUGGCCAACAUGACCAGUGCAACACAGAGCGGAUGUAUUAAUACAACAGCCCAUUCCUGCACUAUUGCUGGCAUGAAGGAACAUCUCUAAAGCUGUACCAU